This 26-nucleotide non-coding RNA is filed under the name Cricetulus griseus (Chinese hamster). Lineage: Eukaryota; Metazoa; Chordata; Mammalia; Rodentia; Cricetidae. The record is from RNAcentral.
CAGACUGUAACUGCCAGAGCAGCGCU